This 253-nucleotide ribosomal RNA is filed under the name uncultured bacterium. RNAcentral's name for it is "partial 16S ribosomal RNA". It matches the Rfam family "Bacterial small subunit ribosomal RNA", at positions 524 to 776 of the family's 1533-position model. The record is from RNAcentral.
UACGAAGGGGGCUAGCGUUGUUCGGAAUCACUGGGCGUAAAGCGCACGUAGGCGGCCUCUUAAGUCGGUGGUGAAAUCCUGGAGCUCAACUCCAGAACUGCCUUCGAUACUGGGAGUCUCGAGUCCGGGAGAGGUGAGUGGAACUGCGAGUGUAGAGGUGAAAUUCGUAGAUAUUCGCAAGAACACCAGUGGCGAAGGCGGCUCACUGGCCCGGUACUGACGCUGAGGUGCGAAAGCGUGGGGAGCAAACAGG